CAUGUAUUCCCUCCGUUCCAAAAUUCUUGUCUUAGAUUUGUCUAGAUACGGAUGGAUCUAAUCCGUAUCUAGACAAAUCUAAGACAAGAAUUUUAUGACAGAGGGAGUACUUC
Triticum aestivum (bread wheat) is the source of this 113-nucleotide non-coding RNA. The record is from Rfam. Lineage: Eukaryota; Viridiplantae; Streptophyta; Magnoliopsida; Poales; Poaceae.